UACGUAGGUGGCAAGCGUUGUCCGGAUUUACUGGGCGUAAAGAGCGCGCAGGCGGUCGUUCAAGUCGCGUGUGAAAGCCCCCGGCUCAACUGGGGAGGGUCACGCGAUACUGAUCGACUCGAAGGCAGGAGAGGGUAGUGGAAUUCCCGGUGUAGUGGUGAAAUGCGUAGAUAUCGGGAGGAACACCAGUGGCGAAGGCGAUCUGCUGGACCUCUUCUGACGCUGAGGCGCGAAAGCCAGGGGAGCAAACGGG
Molecule: ribosomal RNA, 253 nt
Filed under: uncultured bacterium
Lineage: Bacteria
Description: partial 16S ribosomal RNA
Rfam family: Bacterial small subunit ribosomal RNA
Source: RNAcentral